AACUAGCCCUGAUAGUAGUGUAAAUCCUUUUUGUUCUCGACUUCGCUCGAACUGACAAAAAGAUUGAAACGGAUAGCGGGAAAUAGC
RNAcentral lists this small RNA (87 nucleotides) under Flavobacterium haoranii. Its description in RNAcentral is "Flavobacterium sp. LQY-7 Flavo-1 RNA". It matches the Rfam family "Flavo-1 RNA". The record is from Rfam by way of RNAcentral. Lineage: Bacteria; Pseudomonadati; Bacteroidota; Flavobacteriia; Flavobacteriales; Flavobacteriaceae.